RNAcentral lists this long non-coding RNA (2330 nucleotides) under Harpegnathos saltator (Jerdon's jumping ant). Its description in RNAcentral is "uncharacterized LOC112589264". The record is from RNAcentral. Lineage: Eukaryota; Metazoa; Arthropoda; Insecta; Hymenoptera; Formicidae.
AUAUGCAGAGUCCAUUGGCGAGUCCUCGUAGCCGUACAAAAUAAGACGUCACGAUAUAUACAGUCGGAGGAAACGCCAGUCCUGCUCCCGUGCCCACCAGUACACCAUAACUAGGAACGGACAGGCAUAUCCUGCGACGAUCUCGCUAAUCACGAUCUCAAAAAAGGUAGAAAAUUAAAUUACCUAACGCAUAAGAAGGCCACAGAGUUAGCGAAAUAGCUCAGCAUCAUUCCCGCCGCGGCGAAUGUUCCUCCUAUCAAAGUCACCGUGCGGUAGGAAUAUUUGACCGAAAGUACACUAGAGAGUGGACCUGAAACGAAGAGAAAUCCUCGCUCAAUCCUGAAUUCACCGAGGAGGAAGAUCUCAGAAAAAAAAUCCGAAGCUUUACCCAGUGAGCUGUACAAGAAAUAACAAAGCGCCGGUAUCCACGCAGCUGCCGCCGGUGACGCGUCGAAUACCUCGAGGAAUUCGACGAACAGCACUCCGAAGGAUUUGACAGUGCCAGGGAUGAGGAGAUUGACCAUAACGGAGGCCAGAAGCACCAGCCAUCCCCAGCCGCCGUCCGGUGGGACUAAUUGUUCUUCUUCUACCUUCACAUCAUUCUCUGUAAAUAUAAACGAAGCCGUUUCAUUUGUAAACGGAAUACGGGAAAAUAGCAGUAGUUUGCAUAUUAAUAAUCCUAUGCAAGCUAUUCGUGGGAAAGCUGAGCAAACGACAGCAAUUACCCAAACAACGAACAGAUAAUAACUAUGUGUAUUCUAUGGAAACCUGUUCCGACGAUAAGGAAAUGGAAAUAGGGAAGUCACUGGUAUCGUGUGUAACGAACGCACAAAAAGUAAUACCAUGUUGCUAGUUCGCGCGUUGGAAAGAGAAAGGGCAAAAUAACAGAUAUGUUUUGUUUGUGUGCGGACAAUGGAAACUGUUGCAAUGUCCCCCGUCAUGAACAAAGAGUAACAUUCAUCGAUAUCGACGACAUUGUAACGCCAAUGCUGGCCACCUCACACGCGGAAGUCAUAUCCGUUACAACGCAACGUCUGACUUGCUUUUAUGUGAAUGCUCGAAUAAUAGAUGCUUCAAAAGGAAUCGAUUAAAAUCUAAUUAACGUAAUCAAAUUCCUUUCAAGCGGAAUCUUCUACUUCUAUUUCUUCGAGAUUAUUUUCUUCUUGCCUCUGCGAAGAAAAGAUCGCUUCGAUCCCUCUCCCUAGAAACCUUCGAAAUAUUAAAACUUGACAUAUCACUGUAUGUAUUCACAAAACAAAGAGAAAAAAUUUCUUCUAAAAAUUUAUUAGAUAUAUAUCGCGACCUUCUCUUAAUGGCUUUUCGUGAGUUUACUCGAAGCAUUUCAGCGUUUAGGAAGAUCGCCAAUAAUGAGAAAUUUUCUCGAGCGUACACAUAAUGCACUUGUUGAUAAUCGUGAUUAAAUCAACGAAGAAGACGAACUAAUGUGCAGGAUAUUGUAGCGACAAACAUUGGCAUCAUACGAAGUAUUUUGUGAUUUUGUGUGUGUCAGUUUUACAUUCACUCAAUUUACCUCUUGGCUCGCAUGCCAAUUUUUCAUUCGACUCUUCUAUUUAUAAAAGUCCCGUCUAUAACGGUCGAUCAUUAAGAACGAAAGAUAGAGCGAUGUAAAAAUGGAAAGAGACAAAAGAACACGAAUCUGUAUGUAAAGAAAAAUCUACAUUUAUAUAAAAGUCACGAAAAUUAUAAGAGUGAAAACUUUCCUAAUGACUUACGAAAAUGACAUACGUAAGUUUAAUAAUCAAAUCUUCAAUUCAUGAGAACGAGUAUGAUUCACGUAGAAUAGUACACGGCUUUACAUUGCUUUUUCGACAUUUCGAACUGAAAGACCGCCUUUACUAACACUUACUUAAUGUACGUGAUUUAACGACAUGAUAUGCGUAUCUUACACAAAACCGAAGAAACAAUGUUAGAGUUCGCUAUUAACCGAGACUGAAGUCUGUAAAAAAAAAAGCAUUGUGAAAAAAACAUGCAAAUCCAAACAGAAAAAUAACACGUCCCUGAACCGUGACCGAGAUUAUCAAUAACAUCAGCUGGAAUGCCAGAGUCAAAAGGAAAUCAUUACGCUUGACUCUCGUUGCAUCCUGAACAUGAGAGACAACGGUGAUUCAUUUCCCAAUGAGUGACGAGAGUAAAAAUUUGACGACGGUGAUGUUAUCUCCAAGAUUAAAGUUAAUCGAGCACCAGAGAGAAAAAAGAGGAAGCUGUGAUUCUCUCGACUUUCUUAGAAAGGACCGGCGGGAGGGGAAGUGAACGAUUCGCUUGUUCCAGGCCCGUGUUUUAAAUAACCAUCGGCCACACUCACCUAACUU